Molecule: transfer RNA, 32 nt
Filed under: Solanum dulcamara
Lineage: Eukaryota; Viridiplantae; Streptophyta; Magnoliopsida; Solanales; Solanaceae
Description: partial tRNA-Leu
Source: RNAcentral
AAUCCGUCGACUUUAAAAAUCGUGAGGGUUCA